RNAcentral lists this ribosomal RNA (663 nucleotides) under uncultured bacterium. RNAcentral's name for it is "bacterial SSU rRNA". It matches the Rfam family "Bacterial small subunit ribosomal RNA", at positions 94 to 788 of the family's 1533-position model. The record is from RNAcentral.
AGUGGCGGACGGGUGAGUAACGCGUGAGAAUCUGCCUUCAGGAUGGGGACAACAGUUGGAAACGACUGCUAAUACCCAAUGUGCCUACGGGUGAAACCUUUUUUGGCCUGAAGAUGAGCUCGCGUCUGAUUAGCUAGUUGGUGGUGUAAUGGACUCACCAAGGCAACGAUCAGUAGCUGGUCUGAGAGGAUGAGCAGCCACACUGGGACUGAGACACGGCCCAGACUCCUACGGGAGGCAGCAGUGGGGAAUUUUCCGCAAUGGGCGAAAGCCUGACGGAGCAAUACCGCGUGAGGGAGGAAGGUUCUUGGAUUGUAAACCUCUUUUCUCAGGGAAGAAAAAAAUGACGGUACCUGAGGAAUAAGCAUCGGCUAACUCCGUGCCAGCAGCCGCGGUAAUACGGGGGAUGCAAGCGUUAUCCGGAAUUAUUGGGCGUAAAGAGUCCGUAGGUGGUCUUACAAGUCGACUGUCAAAGCCCGCAGCUUAACUGCGGAGAGGCGGUGGAAACUGUGAGACUUGAGUAUGGUAGGGGUAGAGGGAAUUCCCAGUGUAGCGGUGAAAUGCGUAGAUAUUGGGAAGAACACCGGUGGCGAAAGCGCUCUACUGGACCAUAACUGACACUGAGGGACGAAAGCCAAGGUAGCGAAAGGGAUUAUAUACCCC